GAAGAACCAUUCGUGUAUUUUCGCGGCGGCGGCAGAGGAGAAGGCGUAGAAUGUAGAGGAGGCUCUAACAAUCACGUCUGAAAAACCAUUGGAAUUUGCUAAACUGGAAGAGAAGAACCUGUUCGAUGGAUUGCCACAGAGGUGUGAUGAGAGAGGAGCUUCGAACUUGAAAGCGCUUAGAGCAGAGAGCCGAAGGCGCCUUGGUGGACAACCGUAACCGGAGAGGCUGCGAGGUAGAGAGAGAAG
Long non-coding RNA from Ipomoea triloba (trilobed morning glory), 246 nucleotides. RefSeq lists it as uncharacterized. The transcript is spliced from 2 exons. The record is from RefSeq and is a predicted model, not a curated record. Lineage: Eukaryota; Viridiplantae; Streptophyta; Magnoliopsida; Solanales; Convolvulaceae.